GACGAACGCUGGCGGCGUGCUUAACACAUGCAAGUCGAACGGAAAGGCCCUGCUUGCAGGGUACUCGAGUGGCGAACGGGUGAGUAACACGUGGGUGAUCUGCCCUGCACUUCGGGAUAAGCCUGGGAAACUGGGUCUAAUACCGGAUAGGAGCCAUUUUUAGUGUGAUGGUUGGAAAGUUUUUUCGGUGUAGGAUGAGCUCGCGGCCUAUCAGCUUGUUGGUGGGGUAAUGGCCUACCAAGGCGGCGACGGGUAGCCGGCCUGAGAGGGUGGACGGCCACAUUGGGACUGAGAGACGGCCCAGACUCCGACGGGAGGCAGAAGUGGGGAAGCUUGCACAAUGGGCGCAAGCCUGAUGCAGCGAGGCCGCGUGGGGGAUGACGGCCUUCGGGUUGUAAACUCAUUUCGCUAGGGACGAAGCUUUUUGUGACGGUACCUAGACAAGAAGCACCGGCUAACUACGUG
This 465-nucleotide ribosomal RNA is filed under the name uncultured bacterium. Its description in RNAcentral is "partial 16S ribosomal RNA". It matches the Rfam family "Bacterial small subunit ribosomal RNA", at positions 28 to 507 of the family's 1533-position model. The record is from RNAcentral.